Molecule: small nucleolar RNA, 107 nt
Organism: Oryctolagus cuniculus (rabbit)
Lineage: Eukaryota; Metazoa; Chordata; Mammalia; Lagomorpha; Leporidae
Source: Ensembl
UUUUAAAAUAUACUUUUCUGUUAAUUACACUUUGGGACAUUGAAGGGGCUAGGAGAUAGAACUGGAUAGAAAGUACUACACUACUCAUUUACCCCCAUGCUACAACA